UACGUAGGGUGCGAGCGUUAAUCGGAAUUACUGGGCGUAAAGCGUGCGCAGGCGGUUUGUUAAGACAGAUGUGAAAUCCCCGGGCUUAACCUGGGAACUGCAUUUGUGACUGGCAAGCUAGAGUAUGGCAGAGGGGGGGUAGAAUUCCACGUGUAGCAGUGAAAUGCGUAGAGAUGUGGAGGAAUACCGAUGGCGAAGGCAGCCCCCUGGGCCAAUACUGACGCUCAUGCACGAAAGGCGUGGGGAGCAAACAGG
This 255-nucleotide ribosomal RNA is filed under the name uncultured bacterium. Its description in RNAcentral is "partial 16S ribosomal RNA". It matches the Rfam family "Bacterial small subunit ribosomal RNA", at positions 524 to 776 of the family's 1533-position model. The record is from RNAcentral.